This 253-nucleotide ribosomal RNA is filed under the name uncultured bacterium. RNAcentral describes it as "partial 16S ribosomal RNA". It matches the Rfam family "Bacterial small subunit ribosomal RNA", at positions 524 to 776 of the family's 1533-position model. The record is from RNAcentral.
UACAGAGGUCUCAAGCGUUGUUCGGAUUCAUUGGGCGUAAAGGGUGCGUAGGCGGCGCGGUAAGUCGGGUGUGAAAUCUUGGAGCUUAACUCCGAAACUGCAUUCGAUACUGCGGUGCUUGAGGACUGGAGAGGAGACUGGAAUUCAUGGUGUAGCAGUGAAAUGCGUAGAGAUCAUGAGGAAGACCAGUGGCGAAGGCGGGUCUCUGGACAGUUCCUGACGCUGAGGCACGAAGGUCAGGGGAGCAAACGGG